UUUCUGCUACCGCGGUGCCACAAAAGAGCUUACUGUACAUUGAUGACUUACAGUCAAGCCUCCUGCAGCGCUGGUCAGGCCUAGCUUCAGUGCUCCAGAAAAGUGCCCUGCCCUUCCACACCAGGAUCCCUAGCGACUCCCGAAUGAUGCUUUCUUGGACUCUGUUCACAUGGCCUCAGCCCUUCUGCACCCUGCUGCACGAAACCUGGUGCCAGGCCAGGCCAGGCCAGCCGGAUCCCUGCUUACUCCUUACCCUGACAUCCCGCUGGUGGAGAGGGAUGGAGGUAACUGCAAGUGAAAGACCAGUUAGAGGACCGCAUCUGGAAGCUGUGCCAAAUUUUAAAUACUGUAUAUUUAAAUAUAUAUUUUUAUAUUAUAUACUAUAUAUAUAACAUUAUGAGCCACCAAACCCAAAGAACUAUAAUGAAGAGCCAAACAAAACAAAGUGGCUCAGGUUCUAGGGGACGUCCUAGGGUGGAGAAAGAGGCCUGGAAGGUGGGCAGCCCCUUCCAUCGAGGGUGGGGCGGCCGCCUGACCCAGUCCACCUGCACCAGUGGGGUGUGGCAUCAGUUAAGCAAAGGACCCUUAGGCCUAUGCAACAUUUCUGCCCCUAAGUUAGAGAACCACCUUUUAGAGUGGCGAUCUCAUGGGAGUGGCAGCUUGACUCUGCAGGAAAUGUGGGUGCUAUGAGUGCAGAACAGAAACUCUUACGCGUUCUGAUAUAAAAACAAUACAUGAAAGGAUGUGGAUUUAGCCGCAAAAUCACGCUGUUUCAAUUGAAUAAAGGCACCGCUGGGAUUCGAACCCAGGAUCUCCUGUUUACUAGACAGGCGCUUUAACCAACUAAGCCACGGCGCCGAAGCUGCCAUAAAGGUUCCUGAAAUUCAUCUACAAGAAUAUAGAGCUAGGAACCCGGACCGAGCUUUUUCAGAUCUUUCUAGAACUAAUUUGGUAACUCAACUGGCUCUUGCAUCACUUGUCCAUUCCUCGGAUUUCCUUCAAUGUCCAAAGACGUUAAUCAUAGAUUUCAAACCAAAAUCAUAGACUCUAAAUCAAAUUCUCGAUUCUAGAGUUCCUAGAUGAGAGGUUUGGAGGGUGCCGACUGGAUCAUCCCAUCCUGGAGAGAAAAACAUCUGCCUCCAUGAAAGCGCUUCAGGGAAAAAAAGACGCGGCGGUUGCACGUGAACCUUCCUUUCACCCGGGUGCCCAGAGACUCCUCCCUCCAAGCCUUCGGGAGCGCUAGUGAUUCAGGGAAUAGGAAGCAGUAGGUGCAAUAUAAUUCUGUUACCAGAAGGCAACUGGCUCCGGGUAGAAACUUCCGGAUAACAGCAGAGGGUCAGAAAACAAAACACACA
This 1355-nucleotide transfer RNA is filed under the name Homo sapiens (human). RNAcentral's name for it is "HSALNT0236863". Lineage: Eukaryota; Metazoa; Chordata; Mammalia; Primates; Hominidae. The record is from RNAcentral.